Equus caballus (horse) is the source of this 3895-nucleotide long non-coding RNA. Lineage: Eukaryota; Metazoa; Chordata; Mammalia; Perissodactyla; Equidae. The record is from Ensembl.
UCUAGAGUGGACAGAGGGAGCGAGGAGCCGUCUGCUGGGGGCCGGAAGGACACACGUGGUCUUCCACGGCCUGCAGUACAGCACUCUGUCACUGCUGUCACAGGCAAUGCAAGUCUUACCUGAAGCUGAGAUAAUGGCCACGAAGGCUGCAGCUUCCAGUCCUGAGGGCAGCCCCUGGGAAGUGGAAUGGAGCAUUUCCCCAGGCCCUGCCUUGAUUUUCAUGCAAGAAAGGCCAGCAUUUCCGUUUCCCCAGAUGCCAGCAGGCCAGGAGCUCCUCUGUACCCCUCCCUCUUCCUCCAGGUCUUGUCUCUUCUCAGAUGGGAACAGAUGCUGAAACACGCACACACACAUGCAUGCACAUGCACACACUCCCUCCAUGUCCUCCCCCAGAUCUUAUCUGCUCUGACCCUCUGGCCACCGCACAUGGAGAGAAGGUGUUCCACCUUUGGGCGUGGAGGGCAGGCACGAAGAAGACGUUUUCCUCUUCCCUCCUUACCAAGAGCAGUCUCUCAGCAACCCCGACAUAAUCCAAGUGCUUUGAGGGGAAAAGCAGCUCCUAUAGCUUUCUGGUCCCUCAUGGUGCCUUGGACAAGACGCGGCUACAUAAACAGCAUGUGAGAACUGGAAGGAACCUUAGAGGCUUGUGAUGGCAGGACCAUCGGGAGUUUACAGAGGAGGGACUGGGGCCCAGAGAGGAGUCUUCUCCAGCCGUCCGGCUGGUCUCCGGUGGAGCCUGGUCCAGGGCCCCGUCUCCAGUGGAGGUGUCGGGUAGCCAAAGCCCUAGGGAAGGGCUGCCUUUCCAGGAACACGUGUAAGCCCCCGGGAGCUUGUUACUUGACAAGAGCCUGGAGAAGCCAGUGACAGCUCCGAGGCCCACCUCUGCUCACCACAAGAUGGCAACAGAGCUUUGCAGGAGCCCCAGCUUGGGGGCUGGUGUCCAGCGCUCUCUGAGGACUGGACCUCACAUCCCUAACCCUGGUGGUCUGAGCACUCCUUCCAUAUCUUCAGGCCAGGCUGAGGGUUCCUUUGCUGUAGGCCUGCACAUGUCUCUCCUUGCUGUUUUAGUGCCUUCAACUCCAUGCUGACUUGCACCUGUUGACUGGUUCUGUCCCUUUUGGCUCUUCUGGUGAGGCAGGAGGACACAGUUCUACUCACAGGACUCUAACAAGGAGAAGAGUUUAAAGUGGCUUUUCCACCUGGAAGCAAUACUGCUUGAAUCGCGCACCCUUUCUCCAGCACUCACCAGGCCCCUUUCUCCCCUGCGCUCUUCAGCAUCCUUCCCAUGGAGCCAUGCCUGGCUGCGGUGGUCCCACUGGAGUGGCAGCUCUGGGAGGAGGUAAGGAAGCUGGAGUGGGAGAGUUGGGGGCUCACAACAUCCCCAUCCAGGAUCUCGUUUGCACUACUCCCUUCAUUGCCAGGGGAUGCUUGUGAGAUGGCCAACCAGGGUGUCCACUGAGGAAUUUGUUCCCAUGCUGAUCAAACAGUAGUUAUCACUCCAAAUUGGUCCUGAAGGCUGGGGUGCCAAGGGAGGCAAGAGCAAAACAGAACAAGAUGCUGUGCCUUUCAGCUCUGCCCUGGACAAAGGUUUGUGGAGUGAAUGCAAGGAGAGCAUGGAGACGUUGACUGCGUGAAUGAAUGGGGUGAAUAGAUGAAUGGUACGAAUAAAUGAGUGAAUGAAGAAAUGGAAGGCAGGGUGAGAAGAGGCAAACUCUUCGCCACACGCCACUGGCUGGCCUGACUGUGUGUUGCCAGCAUUCUCAUGCCUCGAAGAUGGCCAUGUGGCUUUGCCAGUCCCCAGGGAGCAUCUGUUCAUAGAUACCCAAGAAGUCAACCCUUCACCAAUAGGAAACAGCCGUGAGGAAGUCUUCACAUGUUCUCUGCUUUGUGCGUUUCUGCCCUAGUCCGGGUCCUGGCAGGAGGUUGGCUCACUUAUAUAAAAAUGAACAUCUACCCAUCAGAAGCAUGGUUCAAGACCCUCUGCAUGCAGCCUGAAAGAUAGACUUCGGGGACGGCUCUGUGGUCAAGGGCAAACAUCAAAUGUAUUUUUUAUUGACUGUUUAAGGACAAAAACAAUAGCAGAGCGCCAGCACCGAAGAUACUCCUUGGUAAAAGUCACAGAAGUCCCUCUCACCUACUGCUCCACGGUGGCCCUUGUCACAGAAGUAGGCCAGGAGAGCGGCCCACACUGUCCAAUCCUGUGGAGAUGUUGAGGAGGAAACCACCUGGAAAUGGGCCUGCUUUGCUAAGGGUCCAAUCCAGGAUCCCACAUUUAGCAAGUUUGUUUUUAGAAAAUAAACUGUGGCUGUGGUAGGCAGAGUGGACUGGAGAGGCCUGGGUCUGGAGGCCAGAGAACCUGAGAGCAAGCUGGGCAGGAGCCUGGUGGGAGAUAUCGGGGGCAGGAAUUCCAGCUGUUGCAGAAGAGGAGAGAGGAGGGGUAAUAUGGCCCCGAAGAUUAAGGGACUCUAGGGUUGACAAGUGAAGUCAAAACGUUAUCACGUGUUGCUUGCUUCUACAUUUUAUGCAGUCCUCUAGGCGGCAGAUAAUUAUUGAGCACCUACCAGGUGGCAGGCACCAAUGUUCUCCGGACACAUGGCUAUGGGUUCCACCUGCCACCCUCACACGUCUCCAACUCUAGCCUGGUUUUCCCAUUUCACAGCCAACUUCCGCUGCCUGUGAGUAUGCUAAAACCAAACUCCGCUCCUUAAAAGAAGUCCAACACUGAAAGAAUUUUCACAGCCUGUCCUUCCUGCUGCCAAGAAUAUAUAUUACCAAUUUCCAGUGGAAGCUCAAAUGUCCCUUUGUAAUAACCUAGCCUCUGAGCGCUAAGUUUGAGGGGUCACCACAAGUUGGGAGUCACCUAGGGACUGACUGCCAUGCUGCCCAGCGAGAGGUCGAGGGGGAGGCCGGUGUGAGGUGGUAAUGGAGUUUGAGACCCAGGGGGUCUGCAUGCACACUCCCUUGGGUUGCAGCCCAGGGUUAAGAAAAAAAUCCAGAGAAAUCCUGGUUGGCAUGUUUCUAGCCCAGAUGGAAGAGAGAUCCGACAAACUGCUAAAGGGUUCCAAAACCAACACAUGAAAAGUGCCUGGUGCCAGCAAAUUCGAGGUAUGUUGGCAUGCAGUGCAGAAGAGAAAUGUAUUCACCCUGUUGGAAAGGGGAAGACAAGAAGACGGACGGCUGUUGAGAGAAGGCAGGGUGCUCCUUGCCAACUGUGAAACGCCAGCUCUGGGAAAAACAGUGGCUUCCAAACGGCUGAGCAGGACUGGCGCGAGCCAGGAGGAAGGGGCGCAGACAGCCAGGCGACAGGGAUCUCAAGAUGCAGGGCUCGGGGCUCAUCAGCCUGGCUCCCCUCAGCUGUGUCCUCAGCCACUCAGCUCGUUUUCUGCACCGGUUGGGGUGGGAUGUCCUGUCUUCACAUUCUUUCCUACCCUGGCCCCUCCCUCAUGCUGCUCCCCUCUCCUGAGACAGCUCCUCCCCUCCAUCCUCUGCCUAUUCCACUCUACCCAUCUUUGGGGGGACAUUUGUCACCUCAGGGCAUAUCUCUGAAUACACUCCCUACAGUAUGGAUAUCUCUCUAAUUACAAAUCCCUCCUCAUGAAGGGAGUUGCUAGAAAACUCGUCUCUUUAGACUUCAGUGCCAAGUAUUGUGUAUGACGUGUCCACAUGAGAAUUGGGUUUGAGGGGCUGCCCCAUGAAGGAAACCACAAGGGGGUAGCAGAGACCCUUGGUUCCAGAGCAUAUAGACCUUCUGGUUUCCAGUGUAGAGGGCCCUAGGUGCCAAGUGGCUGGGGAGUCUUCUCUAAGAAACUCCUUUGUGUGGUUGGGCACUCUAUGGCUAAUGGCUUCAGAGUCUGGCUCUCCUCGACAUUUGUGGGCUCUCUAAUAGCCUUGAUUAAAC